This is an RNA transcript of Solanum dulcamara, 1839 nucleotides long. It is a transcript of the gene named labd-13Z-ene-9,15,16-triol synthase, chloroplastic-like, with no coding region annotated. The record is from RefSeq and is a predicted model, not a curated record. Lineage: Eukaryota; Viridiplantae; Streptophyta; Magnoliopsida; Solanales; Solanaceae. The transcript is spliced from 2 exons.
AGGAGACAAUUAAAUGGCUCUAAGAGGAGGAUAUAUUGAACUAAAAUUUAGAGCCAUUUAAUUGUGUCCUUCCAGAGAUUAGUAUUAGGCUGAAACUGUCUUCACACUAAAUAUGGCUUCAGCACCUUUAAACGAUCUUUGGAUUGCAGCUCUCACCCUUUCAAUUGUAUUCCUGACAAUUCUAUGGUACAAAUUGAACAAGGAAGAAUCCAGGUUGCCACCAGGGCCUCGUGGCUUUCCGAUUGUGGGAUUCUUACCAUUCCUCCGCCCCAAUUUGCAUCACCAGCUCACAGAAUUGUCUCAACAGUAUGGUCCAAUUUACAAGUUUUGGCUAGGAGGAAAGCUAUGUGUUGUUUUGAACUCACCAUCCUUAGCCAAAGAAGUGGUUCGUGAUCAAGACUCCAUUUUUGCCAACCGUGACCCUCCAAUUGCAGGAUUAGUAGCCACAUAUGGUGGACUAGAUAUUGGAUUCUCUCCCAAUGGUUCCUACUGGCGUGAUAUGCGCAAACUGUUUGUAAGGGAGAUGCUAAGCAACAGGAACCUUGAGGCCUGUUAUAGCCUUCGGAGACACGAGGUCAGAAAGACAAUCAAAAACGUACAUACCAACAUUGGUAACCCCGUCGACAUUGGUGAAUUGGCCUUUGUAACUGAAAUUAAUGUAAUCAUGAGUAUGAUCUUUGGCAGCAAUUUUGUUGAAGAGAUGGAGAAGCAUAAAAUAGAUGGAACUGAAUUCAGGGAAUUGGUGAUAAAAUAUCUUCAAAUGCUGGGAAAGCCAAACAUAUCAGACUUCUUUCCUACGCUUGCCAGGUUUGACUUACAAGGAAUACAGAAAGAAGCGGAGUCUCUUUUGAAGUCGGUUGAAAGUAUAUUGGACCCUGCCAUAAAAGAACACAUGAAGAUGCUUUCAGACAGAAGAGAGGGUGAAAUCCAGGGGAAUGAGAAGAAAGACUUUAUACAGAUCCUGUUAGAGCUAAUGGAGCAGAAACAUUGGUAUAUCACUGGACUUGGUGAAAAUAAAGGCCAUCUUGGUGGACAUUGUUAUUGGUGGGACUGACUCUACAACCACGACGGUCGAGUGGGUAAUGGCAGAGCUUCUAAAUAAUCGGGAGAUAAUAUCAAAGGUGCAGCAGGAAUUAAAACUUGUUGUAGGGAUGAAUAACAUUGUUGAAGAAUCCCAUCUGCCGGAGCUGCACUAUCUUGAUGCAGUUUUAAAGGAGACGUUACGUUUACACCCUGCAUUACCACUGCUAAUCCCAAAGCGUCCGAGCCAAUCUGCAGUAGUAGGUGAAUACACCAUACCUGAGGGAACUAAAGUAUUCUUGAAUGUUUAUGCAAUUCAUAGGGAUCCUCAAGUGUGGGAAAGUCCACUAGAAUUCCAGCCUGAAAGGUUCUUGAGUCCCUCGACGAAUUUAGACUAUGCUGGAAAUAAUAUGAAGUACCUUCCAUUUGGAUCAGGGAGGAGAAUUUGUGCUGGCCUUCCCUUAGCAGAGAAAAUGGUCAUGUUUAUGAUGGCUUCAUUGUUGCAUUCCUUUGAUUGGAAACUCACUGAGGGCGAAAACGUUGAUCUUUCAGAGGGAUUUGGACUUGUCAUCAAGAAAAGCGAGAGGUUAUUCGCCAUCCCUACUCCCAGGUUACCAAAUUGCGAGCUAUAUCAGUAAAAGCCAAGAAACUAUAAGGGCCAAGCAGACUUCUACCAGCUUCAAUAGAUAUUUUUGUUGGUGUGUGGGCAAAGCUAGAUGUUUACAAUGGUUCAAGGGUAAAAAUUUCUUUUUUUUGCUUAUAUAAAAAAAAAAGUACUUUUGCUUUAGUUCAUAAAUUAAAACAAUAGAUUUCUGACUC